UACGGAGGAGGCAAGCGUUAUCCGGAAUUAUUGGGCGUAAAGAGUCCGUAGGUGGCGAUUCAAGUCUGCUGUCAAAGCGUGGAGCUCAACUCCAUUAAGGCAGUGGAAACUGAGUGGCUAGAGUCCGGUAGGGGUAGCGGGAAUUCCCAGUGUAGCGGUGAAAUGCGUAGAGAUUGGGAAGAACAUCGGUGGCGAAAGCGCGCUACUGGGCCGGAACUGACACUGAGGGACGAAAGCUAGGGGAGCGAAAGGG
RNAcentral lists this ribosomal RNA (253 nucleotides) under uncultured bacterium. RNAcentral's name for it is "partial 16S ribosomal RNA". It matches the Rfam family "Bacterial small subunit ribosomal RNA", at positions 524 to 776 of the family's 1533-position model. The record is from RNAcentral.